Phyllopteryx taeniolatus (common seadragon) is the source of this 1999-nucleotide long non-coding RNA. RefSeq lists it as uncharacterized. The record is from RefSeq and is a predicted model, not a curated record. Lineage: Eukaryota; Metazoa; Chordata; Actinopteri; Syngnathiformes; Syngnathidae. The transcript is spliced from 2 exons.
GCUCACUAUUAACUUUUUGUUGUUGUUGUUGAAUCUUUCUUGAUUUUAGGGAAACAGCAGAAGAACCUAAAGUAAUGGAGUCAUCUUUUUCCAGAAUGUCGAGUUUGUUGAGGAUGUCACAGUGAGGUGCACAAAUUGUCCAUGGUCAUAUGCUCGGCCUUCUUGCGCAUGCGGUCGUCCCGGUACACCUUGGCAGCGUACAGCAGGUCCGUUUCUGGGGCAGAGGUGAAAUCAUUUAUUAGGAUUUUUUUUUUAUUUCAUAUUUAGAUGAAAUACUGUAUAAUAAUGUCUUCUGUAUAAUAAUGUCUUCAUGUUUUCUUAAAAGAAUUGUACACAUCUUACAAAUUCUGCCUGGGCAAGAAAACGUGAGCAUAUGAGCACAUAUGUGUGUUUUCUCAUUUACAAAAUAAAAAUAGGGCUGUGAAUUUCAAAAUAAGAGCAAGUAAAUAAAAAGAAUAUUGUGUGUUCAAAUAAAGUGCUUAACUUCAGAAUAAUUAUUUUAAAAAACUAACAAAAUACAGAUAAUACUUCAUGUUUUGAUCAUAUGGGUUGAAGGAAAAUCAUGCAUUGUAAAAAUGCAUUAUACAUGGGUAGAAGGGUUUUCCAGAAUUCUUAGCUCAACUUUGGGGGUGCGCAUUAUACACGAGAAAUUGCGGUAGAUGUUUGUAUAUUUAAUGAAUGUUGAGCGAUUUGUAUUUUAGUUUGAUCAACUAUUUAAUGAAAUGUCUUAUUUAUUGGCAUUGUUACUAUUCUCAGAGGGAAUGUUAAUCUCUACAAGAACAUUUAUUUAAUAGAAUUAUCUCCAAUUUAACAAAAUGUUUAUUCAUUUAACGACAUUUUUAAUCUAUUGAUUGCAUUUUUAGUUAUUUUUUUAUUCAAUUAAAUUGACUUUCAUUGAGUGAAUAGUUUUUUAUUUAAUGGAAUGUUAAAUUAAUGACAUUUUUAGUUAAGUAUUUUCUAUUUAAUGGAAUGCCAACUUAUUCAAUGAUUUGUAUUCAUACUCCUAUUCAUUGGCAUACAGUAUGGCAUGAUAUGUCCUCUUACUUGUCUGUCUCUCCUUCCAGCAGUUAUUCCUGACAUUUGACACGUAGUCUUCCUCUACGUUUUUCUCGAUCUGCUGCAGCGCCGCCGCCUUGUACUCCGACUUGAAGUCUCUGGUGACGUAGUAAUCCACGUGGAGGUUUUCCGUUUGCCGCUUCACCGUCUGACCCGUGGACCUGGAGAGAAUCCGUGGAGUUAUAAUUACCAUGACAUCAAUGGUAAUUUCUGGUAGCCCUUCUAUGGCGUUGCGUUCCCCUCUGAUAUUAUAUGUCUUCGUGAAGCUAGCAAACAUUUGUUGGAUGAAAGUAUAUGGUUGAACAUUUUGGUGUUUAAAUGUAAGCCGUUUAAUUUUCUUUUGUUGCAUGCUCUAAAUUAUGUGCAAUACAUUUUAAAUGGAUUAUUUAAAAUGACUUAUUAUUUUAUUUAUUAUUUACUCCCUUAUUUUAAUAUUUGUCAUUAUGGUGGUAAUUGGAGAGCUAUGUUUUUUUUUAGAGUGGUACUUGGUGUAAAAUGUUUGAGAACCAGUCUAUUCCGGUGAAUUCUCACAUAUCGCGGGUGGUUCUGGAAUGUAUCCCAUAGGUUCAUUGUAGAUUACACACAAAUAUGUAGAGGAUUUCAGGAGAGGGAUGUAGCGCUUACGGUCGAGAGUAGAGGCUGUAGGGAGGUGGAGAAACCAUCAUCUGGCUCAGUAUUGACACCAAGAUCAGGACCACGAUGGGCAUCAGCUGAAUAAACAUGGAGAAACCACCCUGGAGAGAAACACGGCUUUAACAACACGCACACUGAGGACACCGCAGCAAUGUCGUCUCACGACACCACGGCACGUACGUCUCCUCUUUCGUCAGUCCUCUCCUGUCGGUAAUCGCCGUGAUGGCUGUAACUCGUCCUGCCGUUGGUGAACGACUGUGCGCUUGCUGAGAGAUGGAAGGAAGAAUAAAAAACAAUUACAGUCCCUCGA